This is a long non-coding RNA of Sarcophilus harrisii (Tasmanian devil), 1580 nucleotides long. NCBI's taxonomy places the organism in Eukaryota, Metazoa, Chordata, Mammalia, Dasyuromorphia, Dasyuridae. The record is from Ensembl.
GAAACAAUUCAAGUAUAAUGGAAGCACAGUCAAGCUAACACAAUAUUUAGCAGCUUUUAUUUUAAGGGGUAGGAAGGUUUGGAAUAUACUAUUCCAGAGAGCUUUGGAGCUAUAAUUACAAUAACCCACCUAGCAAAACUGAAUAUAAUCUCUCAGGGUAAAAGGUGGACAUUCAAUGAAAUGAAAGAUGAUGAAAAGACCAGAGCUGAAUAGAAAAUGUGAUUUUUAAAUACAGGACUCAGGAGAAGCAUAAGGAAAUAAUGAAGAAAAGAAAAUCAUAAAGGACAUAAUUAGGUUUAUAUGUUUACAUUCCUACAUGGAAAAAUGUUAUGUGUAAUUCAUAAGAAAUUUCUCAUUAUUAUGACAGAUAAAAGCAGUGUAUGUGUAUGUGUGUAUAUAGAGAGAUUUAUACCUAUAUAUUUAUACCUAUAUGUAUAAAAAUAUUUAUAGCAGCUCUUUUUUCAGGGCAAAGAACUAGAAAUUUAGGGGAUGCCCAUCAACUGGGGAAUGGUUGAAUUAAAUUGUGGUGUGUGAUUAUGAUGGAAUAUCAUUGUUCUCUAAGAAAUGAGGAGCAAAAUACUCUCAGAAAAAUCUGGAAAGUCCUUCAUAAACUCAAGCAAAGAGAAAUGUGUUGAGUACAAUAUAAUAGUAAUGUUGUGAGCUAUGAAUGACUUUGCUAUUCUCAGCAAUGCAGUAAUCCAAGACAAUUCUGAAGGACUUAUGAUGAAAAAUGCUAUCCAUACCCAGAAAAGGAACUGAGUGGGAAAAUGAAAAUAUUUUUAAGAGAAAAUAAGGAAUGUGAGGAAAGCUAAGAAACAUGGAAAUAUCCAAAUGAACUAAUGGAGGAGUGAAACAAAUGGAAUAAAGAAAAUAAAACACACAAUAUAGGUGGAAAGCAUAACUUCAAAAUGAAUCAAAAAUGUAGCUGAAAAGAAGAAAUAUGUGAAGACACCAUCAACCCAUAUCUUUGCAGAGGUUAUACAUGUACAUUCACUUCUUACAUAUUUCCAUAUGAUUCAUGUUGGGAAAGAAAAAUCAGAACAAAAGGGGAAAACUACAAGGGAAAAAUAAAACAAAAAAGGGGAAGAAGAUGGACAUUCAAUGAAACUGGUGAAUUCCAUUUAUUUUUGAUGAAAAGACCAGAGCUAAACAAAAAAUGUGAUCUCCAAAUAUAGAACUCAAGAGAAGCAUAAAAAGACAUAAUGAAAGAAAUUCCUGGGACCAACUGGAUAGUGUGAAUAUUAUAUUCUCAAAAUUUCCCUUGUCAAUCAGUUCCUGUGGAUGACUGGAACUAAAAAGAGUAGGCUAGAGACAGGAGAAUCAGGAGUCAAACAAAAGUUUAGUGUAGGGAUGCUGGAUGUCCUAUGCCAUUCAUCUAAAUUCUAGAAAAAAACAGCAACAUCAUAGAGAAGUCCCUUUCCAAUGUCACCUCAGAUGCAAAUGUAUUCUGAUGUAAGUGGAUAUCAUCGACAAAGAGAAGAUCUAACUCGGUUCCAAUUGAUCAAGGAUGGACAGAAGCAGCUACACCCAGAGAAGGAAUACUGGGAAAUGAGUGUAAACUGUUUGCAUUUUUGUUUUUC